RNAcentral lists this ribosomal RNA (624 nucleotides) under Triticum aestivum (bread wheat). RNAcentral's name for it is "partial small subunit ribosomal RNA". The record is from RNAcentral. Lineage: Eukaryota; Viridiplantae; Streptophyta; Magnoliopsida; Poales; Poaceae.
AUGGCUUCGCCGUCGCUCCUGACCGUGCACCUGCGCGGGUCUGCUUCGCCGCCCGACGCCGCCUCGUCGGUUGCGAUCGAGGUGGAGGGAGGCGACGGGGUGGACCUCGCCCAGGUGGGCCUCGCGCUGGGGCUGGACCCGGACACUGUCGGCCUCAACGGCUACUUCCUAAGCUGCGGCUCCGGCUACGUUUCCUUGGCGGUCACCUGGGGCGAGCUCCUCGCCUUCUUCGCCACGGGCGGGCAGCCCACGGGUGCCGACCCCGACGCGCCCGUCGCCGUUGACGGACGGCCCGUACCUUCUCCGCCAGAGCCCAGAGUUGUUCUGUCCUCAAAGCGAAAGCCUGAGUUGGAGACCGAAAAUUGUUCCAAGAAAAGCAAGCUCCAACACAGCAGCUCAACUCAGUCACAAGCAGACGAAGAACUACUUCCUGAUGAUAUCACCCUUGGUUUGAAGAGAAGACUCACAUUGGACGAGGCUAGUCCAUCUAAGAAGAUUAAACAUGUAGACUCCGUAGAAGCACAGCAGCCAGUUACAUACUCUUGCAGCUUCGCCAGCAGUCACGACAAGCGGCCAACGGAUGAGGAGAUGGUCAUCUCAAUGUCGCGCAAGGGAGUCUGGUGA